GAAGUUAUAUAUAUCAUAUCUCUAAAACUGGAAUGAUACCGAGAUGAUUAGCAUGGCCUGGUGCAAGGAGGACACGCACAUUUCUGAAGCAUUCUAUACUUCA
RNAcentral lists this small nuclear RNA (103 nucleotides) under Octopus bimaculoides (California two-spot octopus). Lineage: Eukaryota; Metazoa; Mollusca; Cephalopoda; Octopoda; Octopodidae. The record is from RNAcentral.